CGCGUGUAUGAAGAAGGCCUUCGGGUUGUAAAGUACUGUCAGCGAGGAGGAAGGCGUUAAGGUUAAUAACCUUAGCGAUUGACGUUACUCGCAGAAGAAGCACCGGCUAACUCCGUGCCAGCAGCCGCGGUAAU
RNAcentral lists this ribosomal RNA (134 nucleotides) under uncultured bacterium. RNAcentral describes it as "partial 16S ribosomal RNA". It matches the Rfam family "Bacterial small subunit ribosomal RNA", at positions 398 to 524 of the family's 1533-position model. The record is from RNAcentral.